GUCAGGAUGGCCGAGUGGUCUAAGGCGCCAGACUCAAGGCGGACGCAUAGAGUUGCCUUCCCGCGAGCGGGGCUGGGUGUUCUGGUCUCUGUAUAGAGGCGUGGGUUCGAAUCCCACUUCUGACA
Podarcis lilfordi (Lilford's wall lizard) is the source of this 125-nucleotide non-coding RNA. Lineage: Eukaryota; Metazoa; Chordata; Lepidosauria; Squamata; Lacertidae. The record is from the annotation of a GenBank genome assembly.